AGUUAGGUCAGCAUCCCUAUACCUGCCUGGUGACAAGAAUCAACAGGAUCCACUGGUUAACCAUGGAGGUUUCUAGGCUUCUCUCCGAUCAGAAUUUCAAAUCCGUCCCUUUAACACGUGAUCCCCGGUGAUUCUGACAAGCAGGCAAGUUUAGAAAAUAUUGAAUUGGUUCAUUGUAAUUUCCUGAUAUUGAGUUUAGAAGGCACAGUCCACCAAUUCUCACGCUCAUACACUUGCCCCCAUGGGUGCGUGUAGAGGUUUUCUUUCUUUUUCUCUCUCCCUCCCUCUUUCCCUCCCUCCCUGCCCCUUUUUUCUUUCCCUUUCCUUCUUUUUCUGGCAUAGUCAUUAAAUGUGAAUGUUUAUAGUAGCAAUAUGACUACUCAUCACGGGAGAGGGAGUUAAAGGAAAUCGAAAAAAGCAACUCCAGGCUCCGCAUGUCACUACUUGAUGCAAUUUACAAACUUAGAAACUUCCAUGGAUGAUUUGGGUAUAUUACUAACUAUCUAACGAGGCGGGUUUUAUGUGUAUGUAUGUGUGUUUGCUUUUUAAACACUUAUCAAGUAAGUUUGGGUAAUCAAGCUGAGUCAUUUAAUUCCUUUAAAAAAGCCCCUAAUCCAUCUUCCACUUGGGAAUUUUGAAUCUGGAAACUUCAAGUGUUGUACAUAUGAUGUGCUCUUUCUAAAAAAAUGACUUGCAUAAAACCCAGGACUAUUUUCACUCUGUGUGUUCACUGUACUCAGGCAGCAUCCGGGAAAUUUGGGCUUGAAUUAGCUCUGCUCCUCUUCUGACCCGCAUCCUUCUCAUUUUUAGAUAGGCUCUUUUCGGAUCCCAACCAGUCUUUUACUUCUUUAAAGUUUCUUGAAAAUGAAAAUGAGCAUGUUGUAUUUCCCAGGUUGUGUACAUUGAACUUACAGCAGUACUAAUAAAUGAAUUUAUGUCUCUACCUGAAAUGAAUUAGGAAAAAAAUAAAUAUAACACCACAGAUAGAGGUUCAUAGUGAGGAAGAAUAUUGAACUUGGGUGGUGUGAAUUCUUUCUGUGUCCCGAGUCCUUUCAUUAAUUCAUGCUGAGGAUGGAGCAAAGCAGAUAUGUGUAUGUGUUUAUUAAACUUGAAUUUGAUUGAAGGGUGACAAGGAAGAGUGAUUUCUUUGUAUGUGAUCCAAAAAAUAGGGUAAUUGGUUCUUGUGUAGGUUAUAAUAUACCUUAUCUUUCUUCCUUCUAAUAUGUGUUACUGAUAAAAAGAAAUAAUUAAACAUCUUGCUUAGUAUGUUUUUUAUAAAACUUAUUAUUAUUAUUAUUAUUUUUUUGUGAAGCUUGUGUCUGACUCCCGAAUGUCUUUUCCUAAUAUGGUAAGUAACACAUUUCAGAGAGAGCUUUCUUUGACUUGGUUUUACUAUUAGUUAAUUCCUCUACCAUGUCCUAUUUUCACUAUCAGAAGUGGCUCAUUUCUUGUUGGGAGCUGUGGUUUAUUGAGGAGGGGAGUUCCUUUAAGGCUAGUAAUACUUUGGAAUCCCCAGGGAUGGUCCAUGACAAAAAGAGAUCAGAAUUCUGAAGUGACACCUUUCAAACCACAGCCAGUCUAUCAUCUGAGUCAUAGUCAUCAACGGGGUCAGUCCACACAGAAAAGGGGAAAAUAAAGGAAGAAAUCCUAUAAAAGUACAGUAUACCUAAUAGAAAAACUUUCAGUCAUGCUUUAGAAUUUUGAGAUCUAACCCUAAAACAUUUUAUGCUUAAAAUUACAGAGACCCAAACCAAGUACCAACCAUAACUUUCCCUUCACUAUCGUAAGUGGUUUUGUUUUUAUAUAUUUUGUUGAAUACACGUUCUUUGAGUUGGCUCUGAACAUCUUCCUUUUUUUUUCUAAAGAGGUUUUCCUAACACUCCAUGCAUCACAUUAAUUAAGGAAUAAUGGAAUUUAUCUGAAAAAGUGUAAGCCACUCAAUCCUUUGUUAGAGGUGUCUAUGUGACUGACAGGUCUGAAAGGGCUUCCAGAGCCAGCCAUGCACAUUAGUCAUUGAAAGGGUUCUAGAAAUGGAGCUCACAUAUCCUGGCAAUAAAAAGUGAGGGAUAACCAAGUUAUUUUCUUUCAUAAAUAACAUUGUGAUUACUGCUCAUGAGAAGGGCUGAGUAUUUUCAGCUGCUACUGAGCAGAGCCUUCUCUUCAUUUCCCACUGUGGCUCAGUCUUGGCUGGCUGACAAGUUGCCUGACUAUGGUUGUGACAUUCAUUUUUAGCUUCUGUCACUGCCACCUGUUGUAAACUUAGCUUUCAUUUUUUUUUUGUGUGUGUGUGUGUUAUCUUUGCCUCUCACAAGCAAAAGGGCUUCACAUAUAAGGAAUAUAGUGUAAUAAAUAGAAUUCAUGUCUCAUGAGCCCUGGAUUGACAUGCCCAGGUUGCAGCUUUGAGCGAUAGCACUCCCCUCCUAUCCCAUCCCUCCCCACAGAGUCCUCUGCAAGACUGAAGAGGCUGAAAGGACUUACCUUUUACCCAAAGUCGUAGCACUGGAGGUGUAGCUCAGUGGAGCCUGUGCGAGGCCCUGGGUUCAGUCCUAAGCAUCCAAAAAUUAAAAAAAAAAAAAAAAUUGUAAAGAGUAGAUUGGAAAACAUAAUGGUAGCUCCCCAGACAACAUUGGAACAUAAUGAAUAAACAGAUUUUAAUGUCUUUCAGCAGAGUGAAACCUACAAGGAGAUGGCAUCAAGAAGCCCUGCUCAGACUCAACUUGAAGUCCUGGCUCCAGCACUUAAUUCUACCUUGGGAUUCUCAACUCUCUUUCAACCUCAGUUUCCUUAUUUGUAAAAUGGGCAGAAUGUUUUGUAACCUACCUAAGUAGUUUAAAAAAUGUUGUGUGUGUGUGUGUGUUUUGUGUGUGUAUGUGUGUGUUUGUGUGUAUGUGUGUGAAACUAUGGAAACUGAGAGCCAGGCACAGAUGCUCAUGCCUAUAAUCCUAGUAGCUAAGAAGCUGAGGCAGAAGGAGUGCCAGUUUAAAGCCAGCCUCAGCAACUUAGUGAGGCCCUAAGCAACUUAGUGAGACCCUAUCUCAAAAUAAAAAAUAAAAAAAAAAGGGCUAGGGCUGUGGCUCAGUGGUUGAGCACCCCUGGGUUAGAUACUAAGGUGCAUAAGGUGCUACAGAUAUGACUACAAAGUUUUUGGGAGUCAGGCAUGGUGUUUUUUUCAAAUGGAGCUCAAACAGUUCCCAUCUGCCAAACCUUGUUUCCUUUUUUGCUUUUCCUGAAUGACUCUGUUGGCACUUGUUAUGAGCUAUUUUGCAGAUUUUUUUUUCUUCUGUCACUUUAACUCUGUUCUAAUCUCUUCAAGAGCGAGGACCCAACUUUGUGGGCUGCAUACUCUCAGCUGGCAGGAAAGAUGGGGGGAAAUCCCACACCAGAGUGGGAAGGCCAGAGUUAUGAGAGGAGCAGAGGUGGUCUUCUCGGAGGAGAGCAAAGAAAAAUGAGAAUUUUGAUGUCAUGGAGAAAUUCUGAGAUGAAAAGGAGUAUGGAGGGGCUUCCAUGAACUUGCCAUGAUCUUUGUAAAGAAAAAAACAAUAAGACAAGGAAAAGAGGGGAAGGGAGGAAGGGUCUUGAGAAAGCAUUUAUCAAAUUAUGGUGUCAAUCUAAUGCAUCCCAUACCUUUCCAUUCCUGUGUGAGGAACAAAGGUCAUGUCUUGUUAGUGUUUGAAAAUCUCAGUGCCUAUUACAAUAACUCACACACAACACAGUUUUUUGACUCUGAUGUGAGUAGAAAAUGAUGUUAUUGUUUAGUCAUUUUAUUAUUUAUGCUAUAUUAUAAUAAUAGAAUAUGUUGUAUAUGAUAACACAUGUGCGUGACACCAUUAUAGUAAUAGCAUUUAUUAGCAUUUAUAUCAUGUGUUAGAACCCUAUGUCUAUUAUUUCAUUUACUGUUGAGACAAGGUAAAUCCUAUAAUUAUGUCCAUUUUAGAGAUGAGAAGACUGAGGUUUUGAAAAGAAGUGUUGUAACAGGGUUAUAGAACAAGAGUAUUGAGUUAAUGGAAAUUCAGAUAAUUAGAGGAGAGAGUUGAGAGUCCAGCUGAGGCUAACCAGAUGACUUUGAGAAGGAACUUAGCAUAAUUCCUAUUUAUCCCCACAAUGUUCUGAAAGCUGGGGUAGUUGAUUGAGUUAUCUAGACUUAGAAUGCAAUGGUUAUGUGAAUAUCACCUGCUGUGUGCUCCACCUUGGGCCUAUUAGCUAUGAGUGUAAUAAAGAGGGAAUGCCUGUAAUCCCAGCAGCUAGGAGACUGAGACAAGAGGAUCGCAAGUUCAAAGCCAGCCUCAGCAACAAUGAGGCACUAAGCAACUCAGUGAGACCUUGUCUCUAAAUUAAAAGUACAAAGAGAGAGAGAGAGAGAGAGAGAGAGAGAGAGAGAGAGAGAGAGAGAGAGAGAGAGAGGACACAGUUUUGAAUGGAUGUAGGAAGUCAAGACAUGUUCUUCAGCCAAUUGGAGACAAAUACUUGUCCUUGCCUUCAUAUAUUUUAGAUGAUUCAAACCAUUCCUUGUGCUUUGCUCCACCCUCUCUAGCUAAAUGACUUGGCUGCUGGCCUGUAUGCUUUUAACUUCAUUCAGGAAAUACUGGUUAAGAUGAUUCGGGAGGGGCCCCUUGGAGGUUGGUGAACCUGACAACCCCUGCAGCCUACAUGUGCACAGCCCAGUUAUUUGCAGAUUAAUGGAUGUAGGGGGAAAGGAGGAGGCAGGAAUCCUCACUGAACUCCUGGGUGGAGUUGCUGGAGGUAUUCUUCAAGUCACACCGGCUACCUUUUUGUAGUCAGGGCAGGGCCAGUCUGCUAGCUCCCAAAGCAGAACCGCUCCCCUCUUCCAAAGCCAAGUCUGCUCAGGGAAAUGUAGGAGGGAUUGUGCAAUCUUUCCAGUGUAGGGGAAAGGGGACAGGUGGAUAGGAGUUAAAUUGUUGAGUUAUGAAGCAAUAGAUUAUGCUUUCAUUUUAAAAACCUUGGGAAAGGAAGAAUUUGGUAAGCAUAUCAAUUCAGCACUUAACAGUUUCUGCCUUCAUUCUAUCAAAACCACUUGUUAAAAUUGUGCUAUUUUUCGAUCUGGACUACGAAGCAUUCUCAAAAGAGAGCAGAUGUGAUGGUGAGAAGUUUUAUAACAAUGUCACUGAAAGAGUAAUUAAAAGGGGUGACUAUGGUUGCUUUGGGGAGGAGAAGUUCUCAACCAUGUGCUGGCUCAGCCUAGCCUGCACCUGGGCCCAACUGAAGAGACCAGGAUUGACUUAGGAUGCAGUUCGAACAGUGGAAUCUUAUUUUUUUCCCCCUAGAACCUCAUAUGUGCUGGGCAAGCACUCUAUCAUUGAGCUACACUUCUUACCCUGGAUAGUAGAAUUUUAAAAGUUGUUUUCGUUGAUUCUAAUGCACACUUGAGUUGAUAACACUGUUUAGGGAGCCGAUUGCCUGCAGAAUAAAUAAAAGCUUCUUGUGGGAAAGGAUCUUGAUUUGUUCAAUAACCAGUGCCCAUGGUAGGCAGUGUGAGGGAACAAGAUAGGGCUCAAAGGAAAGGAAGGUUUAGAACUUUGUGCUACAGAUGGAAGUAACUUCGUGGGUAGAGAAGCUUGUGACACUGGAGGGGACCAAGGAUAAGGUAGAACUGGAACAGUGAUGGCCAAGUAGUGCCAGGAGGAUCAGAUGCCCCCUGGAUCCCUUUCCCCUCCUCUCAGCAGCUCUGCUUUCUCUCUUUUUCCUGUAUUGGGUUUCCCCAUAAGAUUUCCUUUGAAGAAAGAGGUCUGCUCAAAAAAGUUUUAAAACCACUUAACCAGUUGACCUUUAUGUCUGUUACCAACUCUGAAAUUUUAUUGUGUUAUGUCUUUGAUGUUUUCUAAGAACCAGGCUAUUAAUUGAUCCAUUCUUCAAAAGUCUGAGGGGCAAAGGAAGGAGGGCCUGAAAGUUUGGGAAGUGUGAGUAGCAGGGGAGAACUUCUCUUUGCUGAGACCCCCUACUCACUUUAGAUCUGAAAUCACCUGGGAACUGUUCAACAAAAUCCCCUCCAAACCAAUGGACCCAGUCUCUGGGAAAGGCUCCAGGCAUAGGUAUUCAUGAAGGGUAGCAGAACUGAGAGAUACUGGCUUAAUGGGUGGGUAAUAAGAGUGGAUCCUCUUUUUUGUUGGUUUGGUUUGGUUUGUUUUUGUUUUGUUUUGCAUAUAUUGAGGCUGAACAUGUUAGACAACCACCAACACAGUGGUUCUUUUUUUUUGGGGGGGUGGGGGGGUUCUGGGUAUUGAACUCAGGGACACUCAACCCCUGAGCCACAUCCCCAACCCUAUUUUGUAUUUUAUUUAGAGACAGGGUCUCACUGAGUUGCUUAGUGCCUCACUAUUGCUGAGGCUGGCUUUGAACUUAUGUUCCUCCUGUCUCAGCCUCUUGAGCUGCCAGGAACACAGUGGUUCUUAAACUUCAGGUGCAUCAGAAUCACCUGGAAGUCUUUUUUGGGUCCCACCACCCCAGAGCUUCUGAUUUAGGAGUGCUGUGAUUGGGCCAACAGUUUGCAUUUUUAGCAAGUUCUAGGUGAUGCUGAUACUAAUGAUUGGGAUCCCACUUUGAAAACUGCUACUAUGACAAAAGGAAUUCACUUUAGACAUCAAAAAGAACCUCCUAAUUGUAUAAUGGGUAGCAUGCACCCUUGAUAUGAUAUGAUACCAUAUGGCAUUUUAUCUCUGUGGCCUUCCUUCUCCAAAUGUGUUAACCUAGUCUCAAAAUGAGAAAAACAUCAGAAAGAUCCUAGUUCAGGGACAUUCUACAACAUUCCUGACCAUUAAUUUUCAAAACCAUCAAAAUCAUGAAAACUGAAGAAAAUCUAAGAAACUGUCAGAGCCAAGGGGAAUCAAGGAGACAUGAUAUGGAAUGGAAUGCAGAAAAAAAAGACAUCGGGGAACAACUGAGGACAUAAUGUAUCUAUGGAUUUAUUGGCUGUGACAAAUGUACCCCACUGAUGUAAUAUGUUAACAGGGAAACUGAGUGUAG
Molecule: long non-coding RNA, 6978 nt
Filed under: Marmota monax (woodchuck)
Lineage: Eukaryota; Metazoa; Chordata; Mammalia; Rodentia; Sciuridae
Source: RNAcentral